GACGAACGCUGGCGGCGUGCUUAACACAUGCAAGUCGAACGGAAAGGCCCUGCUUUUGUGGGGUGCUCGAGUGGCGAACGGGUGAGUAACACGUGAGUAACCUGCCCUUGACUUUGGGAUAACUUCAGGAAACUGGGGCUAAUACCGGAUAGGAGCUCCUGCUGCAUGGUGGGGGUUGGAAAGUUUCGGCGGUUGGGGAUGGACUCGCGGUUUAUCAGCUUGUUGGGGGGGUAGUGGCUUACCAGGGCUUUGACGGGUAGCCGGCCAGGGAGGGUGACCGCCCCCCUUGGUCCUGAGAUAGGGCCCAGACUCCUACGGGGGGCAGCGGUGGGGAAUAUUGCACAAUGGGCGGAAGCCUGUGGCAGCAACCCCCCGUGCGGGAUGCCGGCCUUCUGGUUGUAAACCGCUUUAGCCUGUGACGAAGCGUGAGUGACGGUAAUGUGUGAAGAAGCACCGGCUAACUACGUG
RNAcentral lists this ribosomal RNA (468 nucleotides) under uncultured bacterium. Its description in RNAcentral is "partial 16S ribosomal RNA". It matches the Rfam family "Bacterial small subunit ribosomal RNA", at positions 28 to 507 of the family's 1533-position model. The record is from RNAcentral.